UACGUAGGUGGCAAGCGUUAUCCGGAUUUAUUGGGCGUAAAGGGAACGCAGGCGGUCUUUUAAGUCUGAUGUGAAAGCCUUCGGCAUAACCGGAGUAGUGCAUUGGGAACUGGGAGACUUGAGUGCAGAAGAGGAGAGUGGAACUCCAUGUGUAGCGGUGAAAUGCGUAGAUAUAUGGAAGAACACCAGUGGCGAAAGCGGCUCUCUGGUCUGUAACUGACGCUGAGGUUCGAAAGCGUGGGUAGCAAACAGG
RNAcentral lists this ribosomal RNA (253 nucleotides) under uncultured bacterium. RNAcentral describes it as "partial 16S ribosomal RNA". It matches the Rfam family "Bacterial small subunit ribosomal RNA", at positions 524 to 776 of the family's 1533-position model. The record is from RNAcentral.